GAGUUUGAUCAUGGCUCAGGACGAACGCUGGCGGCGUGCCUAAUACAUGCAAGUCGAGCGAGUGAAGCUGGCAGAAGCCUUCGGGUGGACGCUAGUGGAGCUAGCGGCGGAUGGGUGAGUAACACGUAGGCAACCUACCUGUAAGCCUGGGAUAACUCCGGGAAACCGGGGCUAAUACCGGAUAAUCCUCUAGACCGCCUGGUCUAGAGUUAAAAGAUGGCUUCGGCUAUCGCUUACAGAUGGGCCUGCGGCGCAUUAGCUAGUUGGUGAGGUAAUGGCUCACCAAGGCGACGAUGCGUAGCCGACCUGAGAGGGUGACCGGCCACACUGGGACUGAGACACGGCCCAGACUCCUACGGGAGGCAGCAGUAGGGAAUCUUCCGCAAUGGACGCAAGUCUGACGGAGCAACGCCGCGUGAGUGAUGAAGGUCUUCGGAUCGUAAAACUCUGUUGUUAGAGAAGAACACGUACCGUUUGAACAAGGCGGUACCUUGACGGUAUCUAACGAGAAAGCCCCGGCUAACUCCGUGCCAGCAGCCGCGGUAA
Molecule: ribosomal RNA, 546 nt
Filed under: uncultured bacterium
Lineage: Bacteria
Description: bacterial SSU rRNA
Rfam family: Bacterial small subunit ribosomal RNA
Source: RNAcentral